UGGUUUAAUUCGAUGCAACGCGAAGAACCUUACCUGGUCUUGACAUCCACGGAAGUUUUCAGAGAUGAGAAUGUGCCUUCGGGAACCGUGAGACAGGUGCUGCAUGGCUGUCGUCAGCUCGUGUUGUGAAAUGUUGGGUUAAGUCCCGCAACGAGCGCAACCCUUAUCCUUUGUUGCCAGCGGUCCGGCCGGGAACUCAAAGGAGACUGCCAGUGAUAAACUGGAGGAAGGUGGGGAUGACGUCAAGUCAUCAUGGCCCUUACGACCAGGGCUACACACGUGCUACAAUGGCGCAUACAAAGAGAAGCGACCUCGCGAGAGCAAGCGGACCUCAUAAAGUGCGUCGUAGUCCGGAUUGGAGUCUGCAACUCGACUCCAUGAAGUCGGAAUCGCUAGUAAUCGUGGAUCAGAAUGCCACGGUGAAUACGUUCCCGGGCCUUGUACACACCGCCCGUCACACCAUGGGAGUGGGUUGCAAAAGAAGUAGGUAGCUUAACCUUCGGGAGGGCGCUUACCACUUUGUGAUUCAUGACUGGGGUGAAGUCGUAACAAGGUAACCGUAGGGGAACCUGCGGUUGGAUCACCUCCUUACCUUAAAGAAGC
RNAcentral lists this ribosomal RNA (603 nucleotides) under Shigella flexneri. RNAcentral describes it as "bacterial SSU rRNA". It matches the Rfam family "Bacterial small subunit ribosomal RNA", at positions 942 to 1533 of the family's 1533-position model. Lineage: Bacteria; Pseudomonadati; Pseudomonadota; Gammaproteobacteria; Enterobacterales; Enterobacteriaceae. The record is from RNAcentral.